This 1192-nucleotide long non-coding RNA is filed under the name Nicotiana benthamiana. RNAcentral's name for it is "long non-coding RNA (NBEN_LNC024904)". The record is from RNAcentral. Lineage: Eukaryota; Viridiplantae; Streptophyta; Magnoliopsida; Solanales; Solanaceae.
AGCUAUGAUUCCCAGUUCGUUAAUCAAUAGAAGAUACCCACGGGUUACUUCCUUUCUACACAGGAACGGAACGAGUUGACCAGACCAUUCAACAUCCGAAGGACUCUUACCGCUAGAACGACCGAUGCCUGAUUCAUUUCUCGCUCACGACCCCUUAAGGUUUGCACUCAACAGAACGAGUUGACCAGACCAUUCAACAUCCGAAGGACUCUUACCACUAGAACGACCGAUGCCUGAUUCAUUUCUUGCUCACGACCCCUUAAGGUUUGCACUCACUCUCUUUCGAUAGAAAAAGGAAGAAAUUACCGGGAGUUGAAGAGUAAGAAAAGGUCUUCCCCUUAGGCCUUUAGACCUGACCAAGAGAAGUAAGACCGGUAGCCAAUAACUCAGAAAGAAAGGUCCCUCGAGCUUUCUUAGUAGUUAUACCUGACCAAGAGAAGUAAGACCCGUAGCCAAUAACUCAGGAAGAAUGGUCCCUCGAUCUUUCUUAGUAGUUAGACGAGUGCUCAGAUCAAGACCGAAAGACAUAUGGACUGCCUGGCCUGGAUCAAAAAGAAAGAGCACAAGCAGGAUUCCCUGCACCCGUGUGAGAGAUUACUUUGAAUCCAUACCGAAGAGAAUGGAAUACUUGAAAAGGUCUCCAUAGACAAAGAGACGAUCUAGACCGAAAGAGAGAAAAGACAUUAGGAGCACUCAUUCCUUGUACCCGGGGAACUGAUUCAUAAGGAAGGGGAUCUACACCAGAAAAGGAGUUUACGGCCGGUUCCCAUAUAGACACUUUAACUCACAUUGCUUUAGGCAGUACUCUUCUUACUAAAGAAGAAGACUUACUGAAAGAGGGAGCAAAUCCGUCACUUAGAAAAGGAGUUUACGGCUGGUUCCUUAUAGACACUUUAAAUCACAUUGCUUUAGGCAGUACUCUUCUUACUAAAGAAGAAGUCUUACUGAAAGAGGGAGCAAAUCCGUCACUGGACAAGGAAGAAAGGGCAAGGAAGAUCUGUACAAGAUAGAAAGUAGAUUAGAAAGCGUUAACAAGACUAUCAGACCAAGAACAGAACUGCGGGAGGAACAACUACCUAAGGCUUAAAAUGACAUAGAAUAAGUGGAAUCUCAUGCAAACUGUGAGGGAGGUGCUUAACCGGUGCUUAGAGAACUACCUGGGAUGCUUUACAAGCGAUAUUCCAAAGGAAUG